GACAGAGGCCUCAAGCGUUAGGCGGAAUCACUGGGCUUAAAGCGUGUGUAGGCGGAUCGUUAAGUGUCUUGUGAAAUCCCACGGCUCACCCGUGGAACUGCUGGGCAUACUGGCGGUCUUGAGCAAUCUAGGGGCAGAUGGAACAAGUGGUGGAGCGGUGAAAUGCGUAGAUAUCACUUGGAACGCCAAAGGUGAAGACAGUCUGCUGGGGAUUUGCUGACGCUGAGACACGAAAGCCAGGGGAGCGAACGGG
This 253-nucleotide ribosomal RNA is filed under the name uncultured bacterium. RNAcentral describes it as "partial 16S ribosomal RNA". It matches the Rfam family "Bacterial small subunit ribosomal RNA", at positions 524 to 776 of the family's 1533-position model. The record is from RNAcentral.